RNAcentral lists this unclassified non-coding RNA (263 nucleotides) under uncultured fungus. RNAcentral describes it as "sequence contains ITS1". The record is from RNAcentral. Lineage: Eukaryota; Fungi.
UUGUUUAUUUAAAUAUAAACUCAGACAAUUGAUAAAAAUAAAGAGUUGUGGUUCCUUUGGUGAAGGCUCACCCGUUUCUAGCGUCUCAACCUCUCUCAAAGUAAAGAAAGGCAAGACGAUGGAAACCAAUGGACUUUGUUGCCUAAACAACAAAAGCACGCUUCACCAAAGUAAUAAUUAAAAGUAACACAAAGGGUGGGAGAUUCCACGACAAGCAUGGAAAAAUCUCGGUAAUGAUCCUUCCGCAGGUUCACCUACGGAAA